AUUGAACGCUGGCGGCAGGCCUAACACAUGCAAGUCGAGCGAGCGGCGGACGGGUGAGUAAUGUAUGGGGAACUGCCCGAUAGAGGGGGAUAACUACUGGAAACGGUGGCUAAUACCGCAUACUAUCGGAUGAACCCAUAUGGGAUUAGCUAGUAGGUGGGGUAAAGGCUCACCUAGGCGACGAUCUCUAGCUGGUCUUAGAGGAUGACCAUCCACACUUGUACUGAGACACGGCCCAGACUCCUACGGGAGGCAGCAGUGGGGAAUAUUGCACAAUGGGCGCAAGCCUGAUGCAUCCAUGCCGCGUGUAUUAAGAAGGCCUUAGGUUUGUAAAGUACUUUCAGCGGGGAGGCGUUACCCGCAGAAGAAGCACCGGCUAACUCCGUGCCAGCAGCCGCGGUAAUAC
RNAcentral lists this ribosomal RNA (406 nucleotides) under uncultured bacterium. RNAcentral's name for it is "partial 16S ribosomal RNA". It matches the Rfam family "Bacterial small subunit ribosomal RNA", at positions 30 to 526 of the family's 1533-position model. The record is from RNAcentral.